RNAcentral lists this small RNA (1012 nucleotides) under uncultured Gemmatimonas sp. RNAcentral's name for it is "bacterial SSU rRNA". The stretch from base 1 to 473 matches the Rfam family "Bacterial small subunit ribosomal RNA", at positions 1064 to 1533 of the family's 1533-position model. Lineage: Bacteria; Pseudomonadati; Gemmatimonadota; Gemmatimonadia; Gemmatimonadales; Gemmatimonadaceae. The record is from RNAcentral.
GUCGUGAGAUGUUGGGUUAAGUCCCGCAACGAGCGCAACCCCCGUCUCUAGUUACCAGCGGGUAAAGCCGGGCACUCUAGAGAGACUGCCGGUGCCAAACCGGAGGAAGGUGGGGACGACGUCAAGUCAUCAUGGUCCUUACGUCCAGGGCUACACACGUGCUACAAUGGGCGGGACAAAGGGUUGCAAAGUCGCAAGGCGGAGCCAAUCCCGUAAACCCGUCCUCAGUUCGGAUUGUCCUCUGCAACCCGAGGGCAUGAAGCUGGAAUCGCUAGUAAUCGUGGAUCAGCUACGCCACGGUGAAUACGUUCCCGGGCCUUGUACACACCGCCCGUCACGCCAUGGAAGCUGUGAGCGCCCGAAGUCCGUGCAGCAACCCGCAAGGGAGCAAGCGGCCGAAGGCGAGCGCAGUGACUGGGGCGAAGUCGUAACAAGGUAGCCGUAGGGGAACCUGCGGCUGGAUCACCUCCUUAACGGAGCUGCGAGUAGACCACCGGCCGACGCAAGUCGACCCACUAAUCGAAAGCACUCAUGUAGUCGCUCGUCUCCACACCUGAUCUCAAUCUUGAUUUUCUCAUGACGCUGCGCGCGUGGCGAGCUUCUGCCGCGCGCGUAGCCGUUUUUGAUCUUCGUAUUCGCUGUUUGACAACGGAUGGAAGUAGUGAUCGUGGGAUUAGCCCACGCGUACGGCGCUUUCUCGACUUCACCUCGGUGGAAUCGGUGAGAGAGUCAUCACGCGUGCGGCGAUCGAUGAAUCAACACACGUGACACAGUUUCGCGAUCGAUGGCCGGCCUCUGGUCGUGCCAGCGAUCGAAACAGUUCACUCGUUGAAGUACGGUGCCCGGACCACGGACACCGCACUAGUAGAUCGCGCGUGCUCUGCUUGACGGUUUUUUGUAGUCAAGCGAGCGAGGGCAUGUGGGGGAUGCCUGGGCACACGGAGGCGAAGAAGGCCGCGGUAAGCUGCGAAAAGCUUGGGGGAGCCGCACACAGGCGAUGAGCCCGAGAUGG